CUCUGGUGUUCUAGGGCUUAUAUCAGAUAAGCAAGCAGGAAGUACAGAGGCAGAGUGACUUGUGAACUGGGGAUUGGUUCUUACAAUAUACAUCAUAGUGACCAGCUAUGCAUCACAAUGACCAGCCGUUUCUAAGAAACAAAAGUAACAGGAACUGUAACGGGAACUAUUACCUGGGCAACUAACAAACUGAAGUAUACUAGUUGGGGAGUGCAUCUUCUGUUACACUGUCAGUGUCACAUAUUUCCCCCAAUUGCUUUUAUUGGCUGUAAAGUUCAAGAUUUCAACAUCCGUGUCACCAGCCGCCAUGCAGAUCUCUGAUUCUGGUAAUGAGAAGGUAGUAGAGGAGGAACUGUGGUCCCCACAGGGAGGAGGAACUUUCAGAGUUUUCAAGUACUCACAGAGGUCUUGAGGAGGAUUCUUGGCUCCCUGAUGAGUGGCUCACAUUGGACCUGAAAGAAAGGAGGAAACAGUCUGUCUACCUGUCUGCCUGCUUGCCUGAUUCUGAAUCACUUGGAGUUCAUUUGGAGGAGCUUGUCCAACAGCAGCAUUGAAGAUCUCCACACACUUUUCAAGCACUGUCAUCUUUACUCAUUCAGUAUGCUGUCAAGUCUUAAACUUUUCAAGGUUAGAACUGCAUUGAGAUUUUGGGGGAGGGUCUCAUAUAUCAUCUUUAGAAAACUAAAUAUUUACUAUUGUAAGAGUUCCAGUUGGUGGCAAUUUGCGAUAAUGUAUUACUAAUAUGGAAACAAACAAAAAUGAAAUAGGCACCUGGGCACAGCCAUCUUGCACAACUGCUGUGUCCCAAUUAAUGAACAUGAAUAGUCCAUUAAAAAUCAGUCUUUGACAGAAAAUAUUAUU
RNAcentral lists this long non-coding RNA (861 nucleotides) under Chinchilla lanigera (long-tailed chinchilla). Its description in RNAcentral is "lncRNA (ENSCLAG00000027931.1)". The record is from RNAcentral. Lineage: Eukaryota; Metazoa; Chordata; Mammalia; Rodentia; Chinchillidae.